ACGCCUUCGCCUUCGCACGCCGCCGACCUCCCAGAGGAGACGCCGCCACGACCUGCGCUAAACCCUAGGCAUCAACCACCGUGCUCCCGUCCUCCGGUUCCUCCUGCGUUCGCCACCAUGCGAUCGCCUUCCUCCCUCAGGUUCUUGUACGGAACAUACCACCAAACCCCGAUGAAUCAGUUAGCAAGCCUAUGGAACAUUUCUUCCUUGUCAAUCAUCCUGAUCAUCAUCUGAAACAUCAGGUAAUCACUAAAUUUUGGAACAUCUCCCAUUUGAAGAAUCAUCUGCAAAUUCAAAUGUAAGGAAGUGUGCAGUGCAAGCAAUUAUCAGGUGUUGGCUGCCCAGGAAGAAGGAAAGGUCAGUCCAGACAUGACAUUUAACUCUAAUAAUGGAGGUACGUAGUGCCUACUGCUCCCUUGUCCCUUGCUACCGGCUGGGGAUGCUCGGCGGGCAGUCCCUGCUCUCAUUUUCC
Triticum urartu is the source of this 472-nucleotide non-coding RNA. The record is from RefSeq and is a predicted model, not a curated record. NCBI's taxonomy places the organism in Eukaryota, Viridiplantae, Streptophyta, Magnoliopsida, Poales, Poaceae.